Smittium culicis is the source of this 82-nucleotide transfer RNA. It matches the Rfam family "tRNA". From Rfam's summary of the family: Transfer RNA (tRNA) molecules are approximately 80 nucleotides in length. Their secondary structure includes four short double-helical elements and three loops (D, anti-codon, and T loops). Lineage: Eukaryota; Fungi; Kickxellomycota; Harpellomycetes; Harpellales; Legeriomycetaceae. The record is from Rfam.
GUCAGUAUGUCCGAGUGGUUAAGGAGAUAGACUUGAAAUCUAUUGGGCUCUGCCCGCACAGGUUCAAGUCCUGUUGCUGACG